GGCCCGGAGUGUCUGCUCCCCUCGUCGGCCAGGCCGGCGGGCGCCCCGCUGCUCGCGGGUGGGGCGGCUGUGCGUGAGGGGAGCCGGCGCUGCGUGAGGGGCGGGAACGGCCGUGCGUGAGGAGAGUCCCGCCGGCCGCCUGCCCCUCAGUGCCUCUCGCUGCUGGUGUUUACCAGCGCUGCUUGCCCAGGGAGGGAAGGGCUUGUUAUCUUCUCCCCGGUGACUGUCUCUACCUCGGCAAUUACAGUAACAGCGUCCCGGAGGAGGGGGGCAGUAGCCGGGUGCCGGAGCCCCCGCCCGCCGGGAGUCGGGUCUGGCCCUGUGGUGGUAGUCACGGGGCUCCGAGGGGGAGAGAGGCUCGUUAUGGAGGUGCAUGUCCCCCUCCACCCACAUCAGGGAGCAGUUACGGCCUCGCAACCCGGAGGGGAGUGGGGGGCAGAGGGGCUCGAUGGCCUGCUCGGGUUAGGGGUCUCUGCCGCCCCAGCGGGGAAGGGAGUGCAUCCCUCCUGCUCUGGUUUCCAGCCUAAUGCACUGAGGUGGAGCACAGGCAUUACGAGGAGGCACCCUUCGGGCAGAGAUGGCAAAUUCAUGUGUGUGUGACUACCCUGCCCUGCCCCAAAACUCAGCAGCCCAGAAGACUGUGUGGUGACUAAAGAACAUGAGGAAGUGUAACGCCACAAGAGCAAAGACUGGAAGGAAAAAAGAUUUCUGAUCACUUUUUUUUUUUAACAUGAGUAUAAUUCAAAUAUGUUGAAGAUCGAAUGAUUUGCAUUAUACAUGCAAUACUUUCAAUUCAACUAGAGGUGGCUGCUGUCAAUACAUAUCUGUCAAAACCCCAAAGAUCUUCCAAGAAAAUCAAUAAAAAUCCAUUUUUACAAUCCUGAUAUUUUCAGAGUGUUUAAAAAAUUGGCAAAACCCACCCUUUUUUAUACAUUACAAAAAAGCCAAUAAGGUGCAUUAUUGACUUUUCUCAAAUCAUUUUUAAGUGACUGUUAAGGCUGGAUGAGAAUGAGAAGAUGGAGUAUUAACAUGAGUUUUGCAUGUGUUUCACACACCGCAUAUAUGGUGUGGUGUAUGGUAUGGUUCUUCAAAGUGGGGGUUUAAAAAUCCAGGUGUCGUUGUGUAGAAAUCGUGUCAUUGCUUUUUUGGUAUCACUUUCCCUGUGUAGAAUGAAGUAGUACAUGCAUUCAAGUAUAUGUUCUAUCGGUACUUCAGCUUUGGCUACUGUCAAAGACCAUGACAGUGUUUCUGCUACAAACAGGCCAUCAAUGGUGGCUGCGUGAGCAGAGUAGGUACAAUCCAAAUUAAAAAUUAAAAAAAAAAAAAAAAAAGAAAAAAAAAAUCUGGUCAGAGUUUUUAGCCAGGAUGUUAUGGUCUGGUGGAUUCAGACAGAAAAUUAAAUCUGAUAAAUAAAGAGAGCCAAAAUGAAAAACCAAAGCCUAGACUGAGGUAGCAAAAUUGAAGUGAAUUUUAAAACACGCAUACAUAGUGGAGGAAUGUUAUGAUCUUAUUAUUGUAACCUUGAUCCACUCUUUCUCUUCUUCCAGCAUUUAUUGCUCUCAUUAGUUAUGUAAUAUCUAAAAGCAGAUUGUAAAUUUCUUGUGUCGGGACAGUACCUUAAUGUAUUCUGAACAUGCUUAGUAUAACUUUAGACGUUCUGUACAAAAAUAAUAUUACCUCUUGGGUUUUUCUGUAUUAUUUCUAAGCAUAGGAAAAAUUAAAAUGCAGCAAGUCUGGAAAGGUCAAA
Molecule: long non-coding RNA, 1747 nt
Organism: Harpia harpyja (harpy eagle)
Lineage: Eukaryota; Metazoa; Chordata; Aves; Accipitriformes; Accipitridae
Exons: 2
Source: RefSeq, a predicted model, not a curated record